RNAcentral lists this non-coding RNA (29 nucleotides) under Mus musculus (house mouse). Lineage: Eukaryota; Metazoa; Chordata; Mammalia; Rodentia; Muridae. The record is from RNAcentral.
UGUCCCAUUCUGGCUGGAGAACACCCAGC